AUACGGAGGAUCCGAGCGUUAUCCGGAUUUAUUGGGUUUAAAGGGAGCGUAGGUGGAUUGUUAAGUCAGUUGUGAAAGUUUGCGGCUCAACCGUAAAAUUGCAGAUGAAACUGGCAGUCUUGAGUACAGUAGAGGUGGGCGGAAUUCGAGGGGUAGCGGAGAAAUGCUUAGAUAUCACGAAGAACUCCGAUUGCGAAGGCAGCUCACUAGACUGUUACUGACACUGAUGCUCGAAAGUGUGGGUAUCAAACAGGAUUAGAUACCCUGGUAGUCCACACAGUAAACGAUGAAUAUUCGCUGUUUGCGAUAUACAGUAAGCGGCCAAGCGAAAGCAUUAAGUAUUCCACCUGGGGAGUACGCCGGCAACGGUGAAACUCAAAGGAAUUGACGGGG
Molecule: ribosomal RNA, 393 nt
Filed under: uncultured bacterium
Lineage: Bacteria
Description: partial 16S ribosomal RNA
Rfam family: Bacterial small subunit ribosomal RNA
Source: RNAcentral